CUGGACUAAAAUUACGGAGCGUGGCUGCACGUAGUUCGCUGCAUUCGGGAUUACAGCACGUCAACGUGAGAAAGCCUCUUCAGGCGGCUGCCACAGAGCGCAAAACCAAACGGCAUGCAUUCUGUUGCUCUACAUCAUCCAAGGAAAAAAAAAUCCUCAUUUUAAUGAGAAUUAGUCAACAGCUAGGAUCAUUACCAGGAGGGUUUCUUGACUACCCUCGGUGCUGAUGGAUUACAGAGGGAGAAGGCCAGUCACUGGGAAGCUUCUGUAAUGUUAUUCCCCUCACCGUUAAACUUCUUCAUCAAGGAACUGUCCGUGCUCGUGCUGGGUCUGUCUGAGCGAGGAGAGCAGCCCCUUCAUGAAGAUAAAAGCCUGGCUUGCCACCGAAUCGACGAGUAAGAAGCAUGUCUGAUGACAUUUUAUUCCUGAUGCAAUGUAGGCUAGCUGCCAGAAUACUGGUGAAGAAAUUUGCAGGAAAAAUGGGGACCUCUGCCAUCACGACACUGGAGGAUGUAAAAAGGCGAGAGGAGAAGGAGGAGAAAGAAGAAUCUAUUCUAGCACUGCUUGGGAUUAUUGGAACUGUGCUCAAUUUAUUUGUUAUUGUUUUUGUGUACAUCUACACCACACUUUGAUGGCAUUUUUGAACAAUUGCACAGCACACAGUGCAAAGACCAGCGAUGGUAAGGAUGAUUUCUGAAUUUAAAGCAAGAAAACCCACAGUCUGAAAAGAUUAUCAGAAACAUUCCAGAGCAAAGUGUCUGGCUAAGGGCACUGCAACAACUGCUAAAUGCAUCUGUGAACCCAGGUAGGGUGCUACAUUAUGUAAAUCAAGACAGACAGUAUUCAGUUUCUCAUGGAUAAGAGAUGAAACCCAAAUAAUGGAGCCUGAGAUGGCACUGUUUUAUUGAUAACAAACGUGCAAGGCACAAAAAAUAUAAGCAGAAAAACAGUGAAAGCAAUCAGAACACAGAAAGAGAUUACUUAAAUACAUGAAGAUAUAUAUAAGCAAGUCCCAUGAUGCUUACUGUAGUUUUGUGCAGUCUGUCUCUUCAUAGCUGAGACCAGAAAACAGACAAAAGGGUUUUAUUUCUAGAUCACCAUAAUUUAGGCUUAAAAUCUAAAGGGAUGUGCAAUAAGUGUGGAAAGAGGAACAGUGUUAUACCAAAAAUUGUAAUAUUAUAAGUAAAAUUUUAACUAUUGACUAUAUUCUGCAGCAUUUUUGUUAGUCUUGUGGAAAGCUGGAAAAGCUUAGGUCCUAUUGCCUUUAACCUGAAUCUGUAUUUGAAAUCAUGCUAUACUGACAAUGUGCUUUUCUAAUUAAAACUCCUUUUAAGUGGUGUGAAAAAAUAAA
Long non-coding RNA from Gallus gallus (chicken), 1351 nucleotides. RefSeq lists it as uncharacterized. The transcript is spliced from 3 exons. Lineage: Eukaryota; Metazoa; Chordata; Aves; Galliformes; Phasianidae. The record is from RefSeq and is a predicted model, not a curated record.